Pelobates cultripes (western spadefoot toad) is the source of this 950-nucleotide non-coding RNA. NCBI's taxonomy places the organism in Eukaryota, Metazoa, Chordata, Amphibia, Anura, Pelobatidae. The record is from the annotation of a GenBank genome assembly.
CUCCAAUUCUAAAAGAGUGGCCAGAAAACCCUGAGGGGUCGAGACAGAGUCUGAUGCACAAAGUUCUGACGUAGCAUAUGAACUUCAUAGUGGUCAAGGGGUUACCAUGUAAUAACAGUUGUGGCGAAUUAGGAUUGAGACCCGCCAGGGUAGAAUGAUAUGUGUCAAAUAAUGUGACGGGGCACCAUUGGUUACUGGUGGGAUAAUAGCAGACUUUGGUAAGUGGACCUAGCUGAUUUGUUUUGGUGUGAUUGAUGGUGAUUACGUAAUGGUCUGUAUCUUUUUGGAGGUUCGUGAUUUUAAGGUGCUGGUGAUAAGACAUGAUGCCAUUGGUGGUGAAUUCAUUUGGUCAUAGGAAACCAUAGAAGGCUAGAUAAGCUGCUGUUUUUAUAACAAGAUUUGUUUUGGUUUCGAAUGGUUUGGAGUCCAGAAUGUCAGAGAGUGCACAAAAUUUGGGAUCGUCUACAGGUAGCCUGGAAGUGGUAGUGGGUUUGUCUAAUUGUUGAAUGCCUUUCAAAAUAUAUUUUAUGAGAUAAGAAGACAUAAAGGGGUUAGUGCUGGGAUAGACGCUAAUGUGAUGUUGAAUUCCUGUGAGAUAUAGUUUUAUGGUGUUUAAUGAUAAUAUUAGAUUAAGGUGGCAAAAGGAGAUGAAUGCAAUAAUAGAGUCCAGUGAAUGAGUGUUGCUUAUCUGAUAGUCUGUCAUGAAUUUAGUGUAUAGGGUGAAUGCUCUAUUGUGUGCCCGUGAUGUGUUAGUAUAGAGGGUUGCACCGGUUACAUAUCUGCUUCGUGAUAGCAGUCUCACUAGUCCAGGAUGAGGUCUUGGUAAGAGGGGGAGCUGACCGGUCUGGUGUUCGCUGUGGGAUGGUCUUUGAAGACCUGUAAAUUAGAUCGAGUCAAUGCGUCAGCGGCUGUAUUGGUGCGUCCUGGGAUGUGUAUGCAAGUGAUAUGGC